This 478-nucleotide ribosomal RNA is filed under the name uncultured bacterium. RNAcentral describes it as "partial 16S ribosomal RNA". It matches the Rfam family "Bacterial small subunit ribosomal RNA", at positions 28 to 507 of the family's 1533-position model. The record is from RNAcentral.
GAUGAACGCUGGCGGCGUGCUUAACACAUGCAAGUCGAACGAGAAGUGAAGACGGAAACCUUCGGGCGGAAGGCUUUAUUUCGAGUGGCGGACGGGUGAGUAACGCGUGGGUAACCUGCCUCAUACAGGGGGAUAACAGUUGGAAACGACUGUUAAUACCGCAUAAGACCACAGCACCGCAUGGUGCGGGGGUAAAAAGUCCGGUGGUAUGAGAUGGACCCGCGUUCGAUUAGCCGGUUGGCGGGGUAACGGCACACCAAAGCGACGAUCGAUAGCCGAGCUGAGAGGAUGACAGACCACAUUGGGACUGAGACACAGCCCAAACUCCUGCGGGAGGGAGCAGUGGGGAAUAUUGCACAAUGGGGGAAGCAGUGAUGCAGCGACGCCGCGUGAGUGAAGAAGUAUUUCGGUAUGUAAAGCUCUAUCAGCAGAGAAGAAAAUGACGGUACCUGAGUAAGAAGCCCCGGCUAACUACGUG